Molecule: ribosomal RNA, 460 nt
Filed under: uncultured bacterium
Lineage: Bacteria
Description: partial 16S ribosomal RNA
Rfam family: Bacterial small subunit ribosomal RNA
Source: RNAcentral
CCUACGGGUGGCAGCAGUGAGGAAUAUUGGUCAAUGGUCGGGAGCCUGAACCAGCCAAGCCGCGUGAGGGAGGAAUGUCCAGCGUAUCGUAAACCUCUUUUGUCAGGGAACAAAGUCAGGCACGUGUCCCCGUAUGAGUGUACCUUACGAACAAGCAUCGGCUAACUCCGUGCCAGCAGCCGCGGUAAUUCGGAGGCUGCAAGCGUUAUCCGGAUUUAUUGGGUUUAAAGGGGGCGCAGUGGGUCGUGUAAGUCAGGAGGCAAAGGCCGGGGCCCAACCGCUGCCCGGAGUUUGAUACUGGCAGUCUAGAGUAGGAGAGAAGUAGGCGGAAUGCGUGGUGUAGCGGUGAAAUGCAUAGAUAUCGCGCAGAACUCCGAUUGCGAAGGCAGCAUGCUGGACAGAAACUGACGCUGAGGCACGAAAGCGUGGGUAUCGAACAGGAUUAGAUACCCCUGUAGUC